GAUGAACGCUGGCGGCGUGCCUAACACAUGCAAGUCGAGCGGCAGCGCGGGGUGCUUGCACCCUGUCGGCGAGCGGCGGACGGCUGAGUAACGCGUGGGAACGUGCCCCAAAGUGAGGAAUAACUGCCAGAAAGGGUAGCUAAUACCGCAUAUUAUCUUCGGAACAAAGGAUUUAUCCGCUUUGGGAGCGGCUCGCGUCGGAUUAGGUAGUUGGUGAGGUAAUGGCUCACCAAGCCGACGAUCCGUAGCUGGUCUGAGAGGAUGACCAGCCAGACUGGAACUGCGACACGGUCCAGACUCCUACGGGAGGCAGCAGUGAGGAAUCUUCCACAAUGGGCGAAAGCCUGAUGGAGCAACGCCGCGUGCAGGACGAAGGCCUUCGGGUUGUAAUCUGCUUUUAUAAGUGAGGAAUAUGACGGUAACUUAUGAAUAAGGAUCGGCUAACUACGUG
This 451-nucleotide ribosomal RNA is filed under the name uncultured bacterium. Its description in RNAcentral is "partial 16S ribosomal RNA". It matches the Rfam family "Bacterial small subunit ribosomal RNA", at positions 28 to 507 of the family's 1533-position model. The record is from RNAcentral.